AUAUCAGGUGCUUAUUUUAAGCUUAAUAGGGAAUCAGGUGUAAUCCUGAGCUACCCCAGUAACCGUGAAAUGGACGAAAUCUAUUAAUGCCACUGCUACAUGCGGGAAGGUUAGAGAGUAGGAUGAAGUUAAGCCGGGAGACCUGCCUUGUAUGGG
Molecule: non-coding RNA, 156 nt
Filed under: uncultured Clostridium sp.
Lineage: Bacteria; Bacillati; Bacillota; Clostridia; Eubacteriales; Clostridiaceae
Source: RNAcentral